This 253-nucleotide ribosomal RNA is filed under the name uncultured bacterium. RNAcentral describes it as "partial 16S ribosomal RNA". It matches the Rfam family "Bacterial small subunit ribosomal RNA", at positions 524 to 776 of the family's 1533-position model. The record is from RNAcentral.
UACGUAGGGUGCAAGCGUUGUCCGGAAUUAUUGGGCGUAAAGAGCUCGUAGGCGGUCUGUCGCGUCUGCUGUGAAAACUCAGGGCUUAACCCUGAGCUUGCAGUGGGUACGGGCAGACUAGAGUGCGGUAGGGGAGACUGGAAUUCCUGGUGUAGCGGUGAAAUGCGCAGAUAUCAGGAGGAACACCGGUGGCGAAGGCGGGUCUCCGGGCCGAUACUGACGCUGAGGAGCGAAAGCGUGGGGAGCGAACAGG